UAAUAAUAAUAAUAAUAAUAAUUUAUUAUUUAUACCCCGCCCAUCUGGCUGGGCUUCCCCGGCCACUCUGGGCGGCUUCCAAAAAAAUAUUAAAAUACUAUAAUACAUCAAACAUUAAAAGCUUCCCGAAACAGGGCUGCCUUCAGAUGUCUUCUAAAAGCCUGGUAGUUGUUGUUCUCUUUGACAUCUGGUGGGAGGGUGUUCCACAGGGAAGGCGCCACUACCGAGAAGGCCCUCUGCCUGGUUCCCUGUAACUUGGCUUCUCGCAGUGAGGGAACCGCCAGAAGGCCCUCAGUGCUGGACCUCAGUGUCCGGGUAGAACGAUGGGGGUGGAGACGCUCCUUCAGAUAUACUGGACCAAGGCCGUUUAGGGCUUUAAAGGUCAGCACCAACACUUUGAAUUGUGCUCGGAAACGUACUGGGAGCCAAUGUAGGUCUUUCAAGACCGGUGUUAUGUGGUCUCUGCGGCCGCUCCCAGUCACCAGUCUAGCUGCCGCGUUCUGGAUUAGUUGUAGUUUCCGGGUCACCUUCAAAGGUAGCCCCACGUAGAGCGCAUUGCAGUAAUCCAAGCGGGAGAUAACCAGAGCAUGCACCACUCUGGUGAGGCAGUCCGCAGGCAGAUAGGGUCUCAGCCUGCGUACCAGAUGGAGCUGGUAAACAGCUGCCCUGGACACAGAUUUGACCUGUGCCUCCAUGGACAGCUGUGAGUCCAAAAUGACUCCCAGGCUGCGCACCUGGUCCUUCAGGGGCACAGUUACCCCAUUCAGGACUAGGGAAUCCUCCACACCUGCCCGCCUCCUGUCCCCCAAAAACAGUACUUCUGUCUUGUCAGGAUUCAACCUCAAUCUGUUAGCCGCCAUCCAACCUCCAACCGCCUCCAGGCACUCACACAGGACCUUCACUGCCUUCACUGGUUCUGAUUUGAAGGAGAGAUAGAGCUGGGUAUCAUCUGCAUACUGAUGAACACCCAGCCCAAAUCCCCUGAUGAUCUCUCCCAGCGGCUUCAUGUAGAUGUUGAAAAGCAUGGGGAAGAGGACAGAACCCUGAGGCACCCCACAAGUGAGGGCCCAGGGGUCUGAACACUCAUCCACCACCACCACUUUCUGAACACGGCCCAGGAGGAAGGAGCGGAACCACUGUAUAACAGUGCCCCCAGCUCCCAGCCCCUCAAGACGGUCCAGAAGGAUGUUAUGGUCGAUGGUAUCAAACGCCGCUGAGAGAUCCAGCAGAACUAGGAAACAGCACUCACCUUUGUCCCUAGCCCGCCGGAGAUCAUCAACCAGUGCGACCAAGGCAGUUUCAGUCCCAUGAUGAGGCCUGAAUCCCGACUGGAAGGGAUCCAAAUGGUCCGCUUCUUCCAGGCGUGCCUGGAGUUGUUCAGCAACCACUCGCUCAAUCACCUUGCCCAAGAAUGGAAGAUUUGAGACUGGGCGAUAGUUGGCUAUUGUGGCCGCAUCUAAAGAUGGUCUUUUAAGAAGCGGUUUAAUAACCGCCUCUUUCAGCGGGUCUGGGAAGGCUCCCUCACGGAGGGAAGCAUUCACCACCCCACGAAGCCCAUCGCCCAGUCCUUCCCGGCUAGCUUUUAUAAGCCAGGAUGGGCAAGGAUCAAGGAGGCAAGUGGUUGGUUUCACUCGUCCAAGCAGCCUGUCCACAUCCUCGGGGGUAACAGAUUGGAAUUGAUCCCACACAACUUGACUAGACAGGACUCUAGCACUCUCCCGCCCCGGCCCUGCUCCCACGGUGGAGUCUACCUCUUCUCGAAUCUGAGCGACUUUAUCUGCAAAAACUUUGCAAAGUCAUUGCAGGAGAUCAUGUGGCCGCUACUGGGCCCUGAUGGAGCAGGUGGUUCCGCUAAAUUGCGAACCACCUGAAAGAGUCUCCUGCUGCUGUUUUCCGCAGAUGCAAUAGAGGCGGUGAAGAAAGUCUUCUUCGCCGUCGCUAUCGCCACUUGGUAGGCUCGACAUUGAGCUCUAACCCGUGUCCGGUCAGAUUCAGAAUGGGUUAUCCGCCACCGGCGCUCUAGCCGUCUCAACGAUUGUUUCAUUGCCCUCAGAUCCGUGGAAAACCACGGGGCUGUCCGGACUCCAUGCAAUCGGAGAGGGCGCUUUGGAGCCAAACAGUCAAUAGCCCUGGUUAACUCCACAUUCCAGCGGGCCACCAGGGAAUCAGCUGAAAGGCCAUCAACAUGGGAUAAAACAUCCCCUACCACUCUCUGGAAACCAUUUGGAUCCAUUAAGUGGCGGGGGCGGACCAUCUGAAUCGGUCCCGCCUCCCUGCAGAGGGGGAAGGGUCACGGAGAAGUCCAGUUGCACCAGGAAGUGAUCUGACCAUGGCACUUCUUUGGUUUCGCUUUUACUUAAUGUCAGAU
Molecule: non-coding RNA, 2368 nt
Organism: Podarcis lilfordi (Lilford's wall lizard)
Lineage: Eukaryota; Metazoa; Chordata; Lepidosauria; Squamata; Lacertidae
Source: the annotation of a GenBank genome assembly